UAAACGAUGUCGACUUGGAGGUUGUGCCCUUGAGGCGUGGCUUCCGGAGCUAACGCGUUAAGUCGACCGCCUGGGGAGUACGGCCGCAAGGUUAAAACUCAAAUGAAUUGACGGGGCCCCCACAAGCGGUGGAGCAUGUGGUUUAAUUCGAUGCAACGCGAAGAACCUUACCUGGUCUUGACAUCCACAGAACUUUCCAGAGAUGGAUUGGUGCCUUCGGGAACUGUGAGACAGGUGCUGCAUGGCUGUCGUCAGCUCGUGUUGUGAAAUGUUGGGUUAAGUCCCGCAACGAGCGCAACCCUUAUCCUUUGUUGCCAGCGGUCCGGCCGGGAACUCAAAGGAGACUGCCAGUGAUAAACUGGAGGAAGGUGGGGAUGACGUCAAGUCAUCAUGGCCCUUACGACCAGGGCUACACACGUGCUACAAUGGCGCAUACAAAGAGAAGCGACCUCGCGAGAGCAAGCGGACCUCAUAAAGUGCGUCGUAGUCCGGAUUGGAGUCUGCAACUCGACUCCAUGAAGUCGGAAUCGCUAGUAAUCGUGGAUCAGAAUGCCACGGUG
Molecule: ribosomal RNA, 560 nt
Filed under: Escherichia sp.
Lineage: Bacteria; Pseudomonadati; Pseudomonadota; Gammaproteobacteria; Enterobacterales; Enterobacteriaceae
Description: bacterial SSU rRNA
Rfam family: Bacterial small subunit ribosomal RNA
Source: RNAcentral